UAGCGUAAUCACUUGUCCCUUAAAUGGGGACCAGUAUGAAUGGCCCUAUGAGGGCCUAACUGUCUCCUUUAGCUGCCCAAUGAACCUGAUCUCCCAGUACAAAAGCUGGGAUAAACCCAUAAGACGAGAAGACCCUGUGGAGCUUCAGGCCCCACAAUAAUCUGCCCAAUAUUGCCCGCCUUCAGUUGGGGCGACUACGGAACGAAAUAAAACUUCCACGCUAAGCUCACUGCAACGGUAAACACACCACCGCAUCCCACCAUGACCCAGUACUACUGAUCAACGAACCAAGUUACCCCAGGGAUAACAGCGCCAUCCUCUUCCAGAGCCCAUAUCGCCAAGAGGGUUUACGACCUCGAUGUUGGAUCAGGACCCCCAGGUGGUGCAGCCGCUACCAAUGGUUCGUUUGUUCAACGAUUAA
RNAcentral lists this ribosomal RNA (421 nucleotides) under Gonatodes chucuri (Chucuri gecko). Its description in RNAcentral is "Gonatodes sp. JPR-2019a partial large subunit ribosomal RNA". It matches the Rfam family "Bacterial large subunit ribosomal RNA", at positions 1957 to 2591 of the family's 2925-position model. The record is from RNAcentral. Lineage: Eukaryota; Metazoa; Chordata; Lepidosauria; Squamata; Sphaerodactylidae.